GCCAGGCAUAGUGGUGCAUAUCUGCAGUCCCAGCUACUCAGGAGGCUGAGGCAGGAAGACUGCUUGAGCCCAGGAGUGUAGGGCUACAGUAUGCUAUGCUAGUCGGGUGUCUGCACUAAGGUUGGCAUCAAUAUGGUGACCUCCCAGGAGCAGGGACCACCGGAUUGCUUAAGGAGGGGUGAAAUGAGCAUUUCAAAACUCCUAUGCUGAUCACUAGUGGGAUGGUGCCUGUCAAUAGGCACUGUACGCCAGCCUGGGCAAUAUAGCAAGACCCUGUCCCU
Microcebus murinus (gray mouse lemur) is the source of this 281-nucleotide unclassified non-coding RNA. It matches the Rfam family "Metazoan signal recognition particle RNA". From Rfam's summary of the family: The signal recognition particle (SRP) is a universally conserved ribonucleoprotein. It is involved in the co-translational targeting of proteins to membranes. The record is from Ensembl. NCBI's taxonomy places the organism in Eukaryota, Metazoa, Chordata, Mammalia, Primates, Cheirogaleidae.